AUACGGAGGAUGCGAGCGUUAUCCGGAUUUAUUGGGUUUAAAGGGAGCGUAGGUGGGAUAUUAAGUCAGCUGUGAAAGUUUGGGGCUCAACCUUAAAAUUGCAGUUGAUACUGGUUUCCUUGAGUACGGUACAGGUGGGCGGAAUUCGUGGUGUAGCGGUGAAAUGCUUAGAUAUCACGAAGAACUCCGAUCGCGAAGGCAGCUCACCGGGCCGGAACUGACACUGAUGCUCGAAAGUGCGGGUAUCAAACAGGGUUAGAUACCCUGGUAGUCCGCACAGUAAACGAUGAAUACUCGCUGUUUGCGAUACACGGUAAGCGGCCAAGCGAAAGCGUUAAGUAUUCCACCUGGGGAGUACGCCGGCAACGGUGAAACUCAAAUGAAUUGGCGGGG
RNAcentral lists this ribosomal RNA (393 nucleotides) under uncultured bacterium. RNAcentral describes it as "partial 16S ribosomal RNA". It matches the Rfam family "Bacterial small subunit ribosomal RNA", at positions 523 to 918 of the family's 1533-position model. The record is from RNAcentral.